Molecule: ribosomal RNA, 554 nt
Filed under: uncultured bacterium
Lineage: Bacteria
Description: partial 16S ribosomal RNA
Rfam family: Bacterial small subunit ribosomal RNA
Source: RNAcentral
UAGGGAAUCUUCCACAAUGGACGCAAGUCUGAUGGAGCAACGCCGCGUGAGUGAAGAAGGUUUUCGGACCGUAAAGCUCUGUUGUUGGUGAAGAAGGAUAGAGGUAGUAACUGGCCUUUAUUUGACGGUAAUCAACCAGAAAGUCACGGCUAACUACGUGCCAGCAGCCGCGGUAAUACGUAGGUGGCAAGCGUUGUCCGGAUUUAUUGGGCGUAAAGCGAGCGCAGGCGGAAGAAUAAGUCUGAUGUGAAAGCCCUCGGCUUAACCGAGGAAUUGCAUCGGAAACUGUUUUCUUGAGUGCAGAAGAGGAGAGUAGAACUCCAUGUGUAGCGGUGGAAUGCGUAGAUAUAUGGAAGAAUACCAGUGGCGAAGGCGGCUCUCUGGUCUGCAACUGACGCUGAGGCUCGAAAGCAUGGGUAGCGAACAGGAUUAGAUACCCUGGUAGUCCAUGCCGUAAACGAUGAGUGCUAAGUGUUGGGAGGCUUCCGCCUCUCAGUGUUGCAGCUAACGCAUUAAGCACUCCGCCUGGGGGAGUACGACCGCAAGGUUGAAAC